This is a long non-coding RNA of Synchiropus splendidus (mandarinfish), 1060 nucleotides long. RefSeq lists it as uncharacterized. The record is from RefSeq and is a predicted model, not a curated record. The transcript has 4 exons. NCBI's taxonomy places the organism in Eukaryota, Metazoa, Chordata, Actinopteri, Syngnathiformes, Callionymidae.
CUCUCCACACCGCAGCCGAGUCAUUGGCUGAGAACUGCUGCGUGAGUUUGUCAGAGUAUGCGGCCUUAGCUUUCUUCAGCUCCCUCUGAAACCGAUACUUCAUCUCUUUGUAGCAGCUCCUGUCCCCACUCUUGCGAGCUGCCUCCUUCUCCCGUCUAAUCUGGCUGAGUUUAGUUGUGAACCAAGGUUUGUCAUUUGCAUAACUCACCUUGGUGUGCGUUGGAACUAUGCACUCUUCACAGUAGCUGAUCCAUGAAGUCACAGUGUCUGUAUACUCAUCCAGAUUAUUGGUCGCAGCCCUGAACACCUCCCAGUCUGUGGUCUCCAUGCAAGACUGCAGCUCCUCUUUAGCUUCACUUGUCCAGAUCUUCAUGCUCCUCACAACAGGCUUUGCCAGCUUCAGCUUCUGCUUGUAUGUAGGAACAAGAUGAACCAUCAAGUGGUCAGAGAGUCCCAGUGCAGCUCGAGGGAGGGCGGUAUAAGAGUUGCGGAGCGAUGAGUAACAGUGAUCCAAUCCAGCACGCUCUGCUCUCUGGUGGGACAUUUUACAACCUGCCUGUACCUGGGAAGCUCCUCACUCAGAUUUGCCUUGUUGAAGUCUCCAAGCACAAUCACAGGAGAUUGUGAUCUCAUAAAGAUCACAAAGAUCAUAAAGAUCUCAUAAAGGCAAUACAAUGCAAGAUUGUUCAGUGCCUUAAAACUAUUACAUACAGAAAUAUCACAUGCAGCUGUAAAUGAUUUUAUUUGUACUUUCUUAAUAUUUUAGUGAAUGUUCAUUGCAGUAUGUAUUUUUGCCUGAAGACGUAGUGGGCACAUCUGAUGAAUGCAGCCAUAUGGUUGGCGAUGACGGGUAUUACCCAGUGAAACGGGUAGUAAAAACAAAAAAACAAAAGGGGAAAAUAAUGGAACUAAUCGAGUGGGAGCCCUGCUCCAUGUGUGGAAAGAUAUUCCAACUUGAGCGGGUACGGAUGGAAGAAACCAAAAAAAACCAAUUUGUAAAUAAUAAUAAAUACAUCUGCAAAAGUGUGAUCUUGAUGUUGUUGUUGCAAUUCAUGCAUGC